ACUGCAUAUUAUUAAAGCUUGGAGUUGAGGCAACUGGAUGGCCAAUGAAUUCACAAGUAUAAGGAGUGUGCUUUGUGAGAAGCAGGUCUUAGCGCUAACACCACAGGUCUCUGACCCAGUGAGUGGGUGGAGUUUGAUAGUAAUCUUGCUACAGAU
This is a small nucleolar RNA of Hyaena hyaena (striped hyena), 156 nucleotides long. Lineage: Eukaryota; Metazoa; Chordata; Mammalia; Carnivora; Hyaenidae. The record is from RefSeq and is a predicted model, not a curated record.